GAUGUUUGUCUUCAAGACCAGACCAUGUGCCUGUGAGCACAGCGCAGAACCUAAGGUCGCCGGAAGUCGGUAAUGAACUUGGGGGUGUGGUGGUAAGGAACGCAGUGGCUAUUCCUGCAGGAACCUACAAGAUAAAAAGAAAUGGCUACUGCAGAUUCUUUUCAAGUCUUGAAAUCAUCCUUGGGGGCCCCAUUUCCUUCUCAAUGCCAAAUCAAUCGCCGGGCUCUGUUGAAUUUAUCUUUUUAAUUAUUUCUCAAAUGUUGGUCUCCUAAAAGGUCUGCCCUUUUCCCAGAUGAGGAUUUAUUCUCUUUUCUCAGAUUAUCUUAGUACCUGCACUCACACGCCCACCUUGCCCUAGAUCCAGAUGUGUUGUUCCAACCUUGGCCCAUCCCUCACACCUAUACUCCUAUCUAAGCUAGGGAAUGCCAGGUGCCCCCUCCCAGUAGCUACCAGUCUGAGCCUGAGCCUCAAACAAGGACUGUUGCUAAAGGUCUACACUUAAGACAGAGGCUUCUAGUGUCUUUAGGGCCAGGUUUCCUGGACACAGCCUGUGUUUUAGUCACCUUUUUCGCUGCUGUGACUAAAAGAUCUGACCAGAGCAAUUGUAGGGGAGGAAAAGUUAUUUGGGGGCUCACAGUUUCAGAAGUAUCAGUCCAUAGAAGACCAGCUCCAUUCCUUGGGGCUCCAAGUGAGGCAGAACAUCAUGGUAGAAGAGUGUGGUGGAGGGAAGUAGCUCAUAUGAUGAUCAGGAAGCAGAGAGACUCAACUCACUAGAUACAAUAUAUAUAUACCCCCCAAUCCACACCCCCACUGCCACCUCCUCCAGCCACACUCUACCCAUCUUCAGUUUCCACUCAGUUAAUCCCUAUCAGGGGGCUAAUUCAUUGACUGUCUUAAGGCUUUCAUAACCCAAUCAUUUGUCCUCUGAACCUUCUUGCAUUGUCUCACAUGUAAUUUUUUGAGGGACACCUCACAUCCAAAUCAUAACAACCCGGAAAAAGAAAGACAGGAAGAAAAGAAACCCAGGAAGGAUCAGAGUUCCAUACCCACCAGCCCCCAACAAGUAACAUUAGCAUCAAAAUGUUUCCUUCUUGCUGGAUUAUAUGGCACAUGCCUGUAAUCCCAGCAGCUCAGGAGGCUGAGACAGGAGGAUCCAG
This 1157-nucleotide long non-coding RNA is filed under the name Marmota monax (woodchuck). The record is from RNAcentral. Lineage: Eukaryota; Metazoa; Chordata; Mammalia; Rodentia; Sciuridae.